GGUUGCCAUCAUACCAGCACUAAUGCACCGGAUCCCAUCAGAACUCCGCAGUUAAGCGUGCUUGGGCGAGAGUAGUACUAGGAUGGGUGACCCCCUGGGAAGUCCUCGUGUUGCAACCC
RNAcentral lists this ribosomal RNA (119 nucleotides) under Helianthus annuus (common sunflower). Lineage: Eukaryota; Viridiplantae; Streptophyta; Magnoliopsida; Asterales; Asteraceae. The record is from RNAcentral.